GGGAGUUCUCGCACGACGGUUCUCGCUCGUAUGCUCGGCAGAGCCGUCGUCAUUGGGCGUCGGGACGUCGCGACGACGCUCUUUUCCUCUCUCUUUCUCUCUCGUAUAUUACUAACACGCACGAACACGCGAAAACUCUUACUUUUUCUCAUUCUCGCUCUUUCUCUCUUUGUCUCUGUCUCUCUCUCUCUCUCUCGCUCUCUCAUUUAUGCUCACCUAACCCAAGGCUAUCGCGCGCGCACUCGUUGAACGUUUCCGCGCGCGGAUAAUCGCGCCGUUCCGUUCCGUUCCCCGUUCCGUGUCUGUCAGUUUGCGAGUAGCGUUCGCCGGUGCACGCGCGCGCGCGCGACCCGACGCACCACCAGUAGUGCGUCCUUUCGGUUCAUCGGGAGUUUUAUCGAAAUCUUGUGUCAUCGAGUACAGUUAUCUAUUAAUAGUAUAUAUUUAUACAUAUAUAUAUAUUCAUAGAUAAUUUACUUGCUAGAGAUUUUCAUUAAUCUCGUUAUCGAUUACGGGUAGUGUUGAAAAGAUUUUGUUAUUCGCGAAUAGCGAAUAUAAAAACGUGACAAACGCCGUAUGUUAUAUUCGUCCGUAUUUCGGCGUCGGGUGCGUCAAAAUCAGUGCGGCAAAGUUCGCGCGGGCUUUAAUCGUGCGCGCGGGCGCGCGCGCGCACACGCGACCGCUCGUGAUUAUUAUUUCGACUCUAUUGCAGAGAUCUGCACGCGAAGGUGGGAGGAAACGGUUCUGUUCCAUUUUAAUUUUAUCUUCUUCUUCUUCUUAUUUUUCUUUACUCACGGUGGUGUAUUAUAAUAAUAAUAAUAAUAAUAAUAAUACAUGUUGAAAAAUAAAAUUGGAAAGAAUCGAUCGUUCGGUUAUGAUCGUACGAUAUUUGUAAGCAUCGGUGCCGGUGAAUCACCCGAUGGGAGGUAAAAGAAGUCUUCUUCUCGAGUUAAUUACGAAGAAUGUUGGUACUCGCCUAGAUUGUCCUUUGGACAUCGGCGAUAUAUCGUGACAAGUGGAGGAGAACCUAUUGCAGGAUGGGAAGGACGACGUUGCGAGGAUCGAGCGACGAAGGACAGAUCGUUUUUGUCGCCGUCGCCGCCGUCGCAGACGUCCUUCUCCAGAGGAGACUUUCCAAAUUCGAAGAGAGGAUCGCAACUUCAAAAUUAUUCGGGAGAGCUUGAAAAUAAUCAUCGAGACAAGUUUACGGAUGAAGCUCGAUAAAGAAAUUGGUAGGAAAGGAGAAGGAGGUGGUGCUGGUGUUGGUAGUGGAAGAAGAAGAGAAGGUUGCGAAGAAGGUGGAAGAGGAGGAGGUGGAGGAGGAAGAGGAGGAGGAGGCAAGGAUUACCUUCCAAGAGGAAGGACGAGAGGACGAGUCAUGUCACAUGUCGUUCCUAUGCACCUUCCACGUUUCGCGCCAAUUGGCAAGUUGCUCGUCGUUGCGAUUCUCGUGUUCUUUUCUUGUGCUACUCGUUUCGCUCGUGCUAGCGAAUUCCCCGAAAGAGAAUGCUGCGUCUUCCCGAUACCCGAACCUACAGGAAGAUCCACAGCCGCACCUAUACCGACCGGCAGAAGUGGAUCAGAUAUCAAAAAGGGUGUUGCUAUAUUAAAUUGCCUCUACGCUCGUCAACUUUGUUUCGAGGAUCCAUCCUGUAGUGCUAUUCUUGAAAUAAUUCCACGCGUCUGCGGACCAGAAUUAGUGGCUUGUUCAACGGUGACGGUGACAAAGUGUCGUUCAGCACUUCAUAGUCUGCAAGCUUUCUCGUUCUUUCGACCCACGUGUCUUUGUAAGGAGCGUCACGUCGAUCCAGACUGCAAUAGUUUCCAAAAUUUCCUCUUCGAUCAUCCCUGCAUCGAUGUACAGAAAAAAGAUAAGGAGCAGUACCCAAUAGAACCUUUACCAACAUGUACCCACGCCAUGAACGAGUGUCAACGAGCGAAGCUGUGUAAUCAGAUCUUGGAGAACUUCAAAAACAGCUGUAAAGCACGAGAGGGCAAGUGCAGAAUGGAGAGUCGAGACGCUUGUCAUGACUCCUGGACGCAACUUCGAUUAUCAGCGGUCUUUGGUUGUAUAUGUCCAAACAAUCACGUAAAGAAACGAUGCGACAGGGUCUUCUCAUUGGUCAAUCAUAAUCCAUGCGUCGAAUAUCUGCCUUCCUCCGCCUCGGUAGACCUAUCGGGCACGGACUCAGCCCUCUAUCCAUUCGACCCACAACAGGAGAGCUACCAGGAGAUCUGGUUACCGCCGACCAGUAUGUAUCCCUAUUUUCUGUUCCCCGGGACCGCGCGCACCUCGUACCACGACUAUGAAAUACCGUACGAAGGCCAGGAACAGGAACAUCGCCGUCAGCACGGCCAUCGUCAUCAGCCCGGUCGCCAUCAAGAGGAACCGGAAAAGAUUGGCAAGCCAAGCGUGUUCGUCGUCGACGCGAACGAUCCGAGGAGGAAAGAUUUAAACAAAGCUGAUCCUCGUUACGAGGAUCGUUUCAUCGUGACCGACGACGAACACUUGGCUGGCCAGUUAAACCUUCCAGGUUCAAAGUUUGGCGACCGGAGGCAGAAGGGUGCCCAGGGAGACGUGAUCUUUCAAGAUUUCGAUGGCUCCUCCUCGUUCUCCAACAUCCAUUCCAUAUCUUCUUAUCCUUCGUUCCCUUCUUCCUCCUCUUCUUCUUCUUCUUCUUCUUCAUCUUCUUCUUCUUCUUCUUCUUCUUCUUCUUCUUCUUCUGACGCAUUUUCCAAGCAUGAUCGUGCCUCCAACACAGUGCACCUGCAGCCAAGGCACCCCCACCAAAGCGAGCAUGACGCGCACCUGCACCAUCACCAUCAUCACCAGCACCAACAGCACCACCACAACCACAAUCAGCACCACUACUACCACCAUCACCCUGCACCUGCACCGUCCCCGUCGUCUUCGUCUUCCUCGUCGUCGUCGUCGUCGUCGUCGUCUUCGUCGUCGUCAGGAUCCUCGUCCUCGUCAUCGUUGUCGUCGUCGAACGCGCACCCACCGCGACCGACGCCUACCGUUGACGAAACUAAACGAAUCGAGACACCUCAAGUCUCCCCACCAAAGAAAUUCGCACCGAGGCCAACCUACGAGCAUCGGGCGAUCGUCGAUCGCGUCGACGACGACCUCGAUGACAUCGAGUUCAGGAUCGGCGCUCUGCCAGUCGAUCGGUUCUUCGAUCUCCGUGAGGCUUUCGAAGGCUUCGUCGAUCAAGUGAAGGUCAUCUCUCAUCCGGAUAACUCAACGAGCUUUGAAGUAAUCGAGUCUCAAGUGGAGAAUCCAUUGAUCGAUGCCGAUCAUCAAGAUCUUCUCGCGAUGAAGCAAAUACCAGUGCCUGGAGAUCACCAUCAUCGAACUCAUCGGAAAAAGAAUCAGACCAUGGAGGAGAACGAUCAAGCUCUGCCAUCUGCAAAAUCGGAAAUUGACAAAAUUCAGCAACCACCGAAGUUGAUACUUCCAAGCACGUGUCAUCACGCAUACACAUCGUGCAAGAACGACCCGGAGUGCAAGGAAUUAUUACAGCCGGUCCUGAAAUAUUGUGGUUUGACGAGUUGCACGAGAAACGAAUGUAUGACAGCCCUACAACACUUCUAUAAAACGGCUAAUCACAAGCAUUCCAUCGAAAUAGCUUUCUGUUUGUGCCGAAAAACUGAUGGCAGAAAAGACGAGUGCAUAAUUGCUCAAGAAAAAAUGCAUCCUGCAUGUGCGCAACGUGUUGAAGGUGUCGAUAUGCCGACGUGUCAUAGUUUAGCAGAAAUUUGCAAGAAAAAUGAAGUCUGUCGGGCAAGAUUGGAGCGUUACGAACAGAGUUGUGCGGUAGACAGCGUAACGAAAAAAUGUGCUGGACCACCAUCAGAUUGUAGAAAAGCGAUGCUGGGUAUACUUGGUACCGAACUUCGUUCGAAUUGCGCUUGCAAAGGCACCGACUUUACGCAACUCUAUGACUGCCUUGGUUGGCAGAGACUCCUUUGGGUUAACCCGUGUGUAGUUGAAUCUCAAAAGGAUUACCACGUACGUCGAAAACACCAUCACUAUCCAAGAACAACGCCGAUUGGUACUAUACCAUCGACAACGACAACGAUGACAACAUUGUCGUCGACUACGAGAACACAUAUAAGCAUGACGGCGACUACGACGGUCACCGCGGUCGAGCGAGUUGAAGAUAAUCAACUACCGGAAGUAACGAGGUGGCCGACCACCGAACCCACGGAAACUUUAGAAAUCACGACUAACACUGUUAGCACGACACCGAGCACGACUACAACGACCACCACACCGCCUCGUUUUUGUGUUGUUCAAAGACCGAGACAGAGUCAUCAGUAUAUACGAGAGGGUAAAGGGAAAAGGCUUUAUCGCGAAGACGAACCAGAAUGUUCAGAGCUCUGCCAAUGUGGCGAAGGUGAAGUUCUUAUCUGCAAUACGAUCUGCGUCGAUUCGUCUCCUUGCAAAACGGACUUCGCAUACUACAACCAUGAGGCCCCAGCCUAUCAAGCCCAUCGUGGUCCAUGCCUUUGCUAUAGCGGUGGUUUCAUAUGUAUGCGUCCAUCACCUGGAGCGUACAGUAUACCGCACGGAGUUUUUAUGUUCUUGGGAUAUAGCGAGAAGGAUGAGACGUUGCUAAGGCCACACAAUAAUCUUACGGUUCUAGAUGCCGUGUCGUCUCUCGACAAUUUUAUGAGAGAGGAAGUCAAUAACCAGACUGUAUGCACGCUCUUCCUCUACAAUAUGACUCGAGAGAACGUGAUUGCAGUAGCACGUCUUGGUACGGACAAUCCACCCUUAAAUAGCAGUCAAGCUCAAAGCUUGCAACACCUCUUGCGAGUUAAGGUGAAAAUCCGUCUAAUUCGUCCUCAUGCAUAAAAUGAGGGGAGGAAUUGAAACGGCUGGAUGACGCUCCAUAAGGGGUGGUAGUGACGACAAGAGAGGGUAGAGGAUUGGAUAGAGAAAGGGAGGAUUUCUACCUGCAACCAAAGCCGAUUGACCGGCGCAAAAUGUCGCACAUUUAAAGUUCCGUUCACAUCGAACCGUACGGGAUACAUCGGCCGAUUGCAUUGCCGUACAAACGUUCUAUACUAGGAAGAACGAAGUAGAACGAAGAGAGGAAAGUUAAAAGUAUCGAAAGUUUCGAGCGGGUUACGUGAGCUUCCAAUGCGAUUUCCAAUUUGCGAUUAAACGUCGACCGAUUUGCAAUUUGAUGGAAGCUUCGCGGAUUUGAAUGGACACCGUGGGUGCUUGCUAUUUCAUUGAACGUCACAAUACACACUUUUUCCAACUUUGUUUCUCUCACAUUUUCUCCCCAUCUAUUUUACGUUAAUUUUGAUUAAAUAUUGAAGUCGACAUAUUGCAGGGUAUCGAAUUUUAAUCGACGUUACACAUGACUUGUACUAAUGUGAAAUAUAUACAUAUUAUCUGAA
RNAcentral lists this unclassified non-coding RNA (5418 nucleotides) under Polistes fuscatus (common paper wasp). Its description in RNAcentral is "uncharacterized LOC122514469, transcript variant X5". The record is from RNAcentral. Lineage: Eukaryota; Metazoa; Arthropoda; Insecta; Hymenoptera; Vespidae.